This 150-nucleotide ribosomal RNA is filed under the name Burkholderia cenocepacia. RNAcentral describes it as "partial 23S ribosomal RNA". It matches the Rfam family "Bacterial large subunit ribosomal RNA", at positions 2787 to 2925 of the family's 2925-position model. RNAcentral also lists the same sequence under 1 other name. Lineage: Bacteria; Pseudomonadati; Pseudomonadota; Betaproteobacteria; Burkholderiales; Burkholderiaceae. The record is from RNAcentral.
GGGAAACUCGCCUUAAGAUGAGAUAUCCCUGGGGACUAGAUCCCCUUGAAGGGUCGUUCGAGACCAGGACGUUGAUAGGUCAGGUGUGUAAGCGCAGUAAUGCGUUCAGCUAACUGAUACUAAUUGCCCGUAAGGCUUGAUCCUAUAACA